RNAcentral lists this ribosomal RNA (308 nucleotides) under uncultured eukaryote. RNAcentral describes it as "partial 18S ribosomal RNA". It matches the Rfam family "Eukaryotic small subunit ribosomal RNA", at positions 1470 to 1796 of the family's 1831-position model. The record is from RNAcentral.
CCCUUAGACGUUCUGGGCCGCGCGCGCGCUACACUGACGAAGGCAACGAGCUUUCCUUUACCGAAAGGUACGGGUAAUCUUUUGAAACUUCGUCGUGCUGGGGAUAGAUCCUUGCAAUUUUUGAUCUUAAACGAGGAAUUCCUAGUAAGCGCAAGUCAUCAACUUGCGUUGAUUACGUCCCUGCCCUUUGUACACACCGCCCGUCGCUACUACCGAUUGAAUGGUUUAGUGAGGCCUUCGGAUCCGCGACUCGUUUUGUGGAGAAGUUGGACAAACUCAGUCAUUUAGAGGAAGUAAAAGUCGUAACA